This 915-nucleotide ribosomal RNA is filed under the name uncultured bacterium. Its description in RNAcentral is "bacterial SSU rRNA". It matches the Rfam family "Bacterial small subunit ribosomal RNA", at positions 246 to 1155 of the family's 1533-position model. The record is from RNAcentral.
UUGUUGGUAAGGUAAAAGCUCACCAAGGCUUCGAUCAGUAGCUGGUCUGAGAGGACGACCAGCCACACUGGGACUGAGACACGGCCCAGACUCCUACGGGAGGCAGCAGUGGGGAAUUUUGGACAAUGGGGGCAACCCUGAUCCAGCCAUGCCGCGUGAGUGAAGAAGGCCUUCGGGUUGUAAAGCUCUUUCAGCCGGAACGAAACGGUUACGGAUAACACCCGUGACUACUGACGGUACCGGAAGAAGAAGCACCGGCUAACCACGUGCCAGCAGCCGCGGUAAUACGUAGGGUGCGAGCGUUAAUCGGAAUUACUGGGCGUAAAGCGUGCGCAGGUGGUUUUGUAAGUCAGAUGUGAAAGCCCCGGGCUCAACCUGGGAACUGCGUUUGAAACUACAAGACUAGAGUGUGGCAGAGGGGGGUGGAAUUCCGCGUGUAGCAGUGAAAUGCGUAGAGAUGUGGAGGAACACCGAUGGCGAAGGCAGCCCCCUGGGUCAACACUGACGCUCAGGCACGAAAGCAUGGGGAGCAAACAGGAUUAGAUACCCUGGUAGUCCAUGCCCUAAACGAUGUCAACUAGUUGUCGGGCCUUUACGGGCUUGGUAACGUAGCUACGCGUGAAGUUGACCGCCUGGGGAGUACGAUCGCAAGAUUAAAACUCAAAUGAAUUGACGGGGACCCGCACAAGCGGUGGAUUAUGUGGAUUAAUUCGAUGCAACGCGAAAAACCUUACCUACCCUUGACAUGUAUCGAAGCCCGCAGAAAAGCGGGGGUGCCCGAAAGGGAACGAUAACACAGGUGCUGCAUGGCUGUCGUCAGCUCGUGUCGUGAGAUGUUGGGUUAAGUCCCGCAACGAGCGCAACCCUUGUCAUUAAUUGCCAUCAUUUAGUUGGGCACUUUAACGAGACUGCCGG